CAGUCGCCGCGGUAAGACAGAGGAUGCAAGCGUUCUCCGGAAUCACUGGGCGUAAAGCGAGCGCAGGCGGUUAGAUAGGUCUGAAGUUAAAGGCUGUGGCUUAACCAUAGUACGCUUUGGAAACUGUUUAACUUGAGUGCAAGAGGGGAGAGUGGAAUUCCAUGUGUAGCGGUGAAAUGCGUAGAUAUAUGGAGGAACACCGGUGGCGAAGGCGGCUUACUGGACGACAACUGACGUUGAGGCUCGAAGGCGUGGGUAGCAAACAGGAUUAGAUACCCCAGUAGUCCCUGUCUCUUAUACA
RNAcentral lists this ribosomal RNA (301 nucleotides) under uncultured bacterium. RNAcentral's name for it is "partial 16S ribosomal RNA". It matches the Rfam family "Bacterial small subunit ribosomal RNA", at positions 509 to 808 of the family's 1533-position model. The record is from RNAcentral.